RNAcentral lists this ribosomal RNA (431 nucleotides) under uncultured bacterium. RNAcentral describes it as "partial 16S ribosomal RNA". It matches the Rfam family "Bacterial small subunit ribosomal RNA", at positions 29 to 507 of the family's 1533-position model. The record is from RNAcentral.
AACGAACGCUGGCGGCAGGCUUAACACAUGCAAGUCGAGCGCCCCGCCAGGGGAGCGGCAGACGGGUGAGUAACGCGUGGGAACGUACCUUUUGGUUCGGAACAACUCCGGGAAACUGGAGCUAAUACCGGAUAAGCCCUAACGGGGAAAGAUUUAUCGCCGAAAGAUCGGCCCGCGUCUGAUUAGCUAGUUGGUGAGGUAACGGCUCACCAAGGCGACGAUCAGUAGCUGGUCUGAGAGGAUGAUCAGCCACACUGGGACUGAGACACGGCCCAGACUCCUACGGGAGGCAGCAGUGGGGAGUAUUGGACAAUGGGCGCAAGCCUGAUCCAGCCAUGCCGCGUGAGUGAUGAAGGCCUUAGGGUUGUAAAGCUCUUUUGUCCGGGAAGAUAAUGACUGUACCGGAAGAAUAAGCCCCGGCUAACUUCGUG